RNAcentral lists this ribosomal RNA (529 nucleotides) under Salmonella enterica subsp. enterica serovar Berta. Its description in RNAcentral is "partial 23S ribosomal RNA". It matches the Rfam family "Bacterial large subunit ribosomal RNA", at positions 1 to 560 of the family's 2925-position model. The record is from RNAcentral. RNAcentral also lists the same sequence under 5 other names. Lineage: Bacteria; Pseudomonadati; Pseudomonadota; Gammaproteobacteria; Enterobacterales; Enterobacteriaceae.
GGGUUGUGAGGUUAAGCGACUAAGCGUACACGGUGGAUGCCCUGGCAGUCAGAGGCGAUGAAGGGCGUGCUAAUCUGCGAUAAGCGCCGGUAAGGUGAUAUGAACCGUUAUAACCGGCGAUACCCGAAUGGGGAAACCCAGUGUGAUUCGUCACACUAUCAUUAACUGAAUCCAUAGGUUAAUGAGGCGAACCGGGGGAACUGAAACAUCUAAGUACCCCGAGGAAAAGAAAUCAACCGAGAUUCCCCCAGUAGCGGCGAGCGAACGGGGAGGAGCCCAGAGCCUGAAUCAGCAUGUGUGUUAGUGGAAGCGUCUGGAAAGGCGCGCGAUACAGGGUGACAGCCCCGUACACAAAAGCGCAUGUGCUGUGAGCUCGAUGAGUAGGGCGGGACACGUGGUAUCCUGUCUGAAUAUGGGGGGACCAUCCUCCAAGGCUAAAUACUCCUGACUGACCGAUAGUGAACCAGUACCGUGAGGGAAAGGCGAAAAGAACCCCGGCGAGGGGAGUGAAAAAGAACCUGAAACCGUG